Cavia porcellus (domestic guinea pig) is the source of this 6404-nucleotide long non-coding RNA. RefSeq lists it as uncharacterized. The transcript is spliced from 2 exons. NCBI's taxonomy places the organism in Eukaryota, Metazoa, Chordata, Mammalia, Rodentia, Caviidae. The record is from RefSeq and is a predicted model, not a curated record.
UCCCUGCUUGGUAGUUUCUUUCUGAUACUGUUCUUAGAAUUAUCGUCCUUUUUACCUCUAUCUAGAAUAUCUCUAAAUGCUCUUCACAGGGUUGGUUUGUUAGUUAUGAAUUUUUUUCUGUUGUUUUUGUCAUGUAAGUAUCUUAGUUCUUCAUUAACUUUGAAAGAUAGUUUUGUAGAGUACAUCAAUUUGGGUUGAAAGUUGUUUUCUUUCAGGACUUGAAAUGCUUCACUCCAAGCUCUUCUUGAGGAUUUGUGUUGAGAAGUUGAGUGUGAUUCUAAUGGGUUUUCCUUUACAGGUGAUCUGUUUCUUUUCUCUAACAGCUUUUAUUAUUCUGUUCUUGUGCUGAAUUUCUGGGAUCUUGAUUAUUAUAUGUCUGGGUGCUGAUUAAUUUUGGUCAUGGCUAUUUUGAGUUUAUAUAUCCCACCUAUCUGCAUGUCGGGUUCUAUUCCCAUGCUUGAAAAAUUUUCUGCUCUUACUUCUGAAAAUAGUCUUUUUAUGUAAUUUGUUUUGAUGCUUGCUUUUUGAUUGACACCAAUUAAUCUAAUAUUGUUUUUCUUACAUCAUCUUGCAGCUGUUGGAUUAUAAUUUACUGGUCCCUUGUUAUGUUUUGAUCUUUUCUUUCAUGAUUUCUAGCUGUGAUCCAGUCUUCAAGGUCUGAAAUUCUAUCUUCAAUUUCAUUCAAGCAGUUUUCCCAACUUUCAGUGGAAUUUGUAAUUUCCAGGGUAACUCUUUGAAUCUGUUUCUUGCACUGUUUUUCUCCUAUAUUUUACAUUCAAAGUUUCCAUCAUUUUCUAUGCUUUUCUAUUUUUUUAAAUCUAUAUAUUCUCUAGACAUCCUAAGCAGUUCCUUUAUUAUGUUUGUUAUUUCUUUAUAUUCUUUUAGCUAAGAGAUUAUUUAUGAACUGAUUUCCUCUCUGGCCACAUUGAUUUAUUUCUUUAGUUACUAUCAUUUUAGAAAUUUCAGGUGUGUAUCUUCCAAUUUUCUCUAUGUCAGUGUCUCCUAGACUUGUUCUGGGUAUGCUGGAGAUCUGAGAUUACAUUUUGUUUCUGCAUCUUGUCAUUUUUUAUUUCAAAAAAAUUUUUUUAAGAUUUGUUUUGUGUGUUGAUCCUUGUGAGUUUUUGUGGUAGACAGCUAUAUCACUAGUACAAGGCCUCUUCAGGAAAAGUCUGUUCUUCAAGGCUACAUUUUGUGUGUUGGAGGUUCUUGAUUUGUGCCUGUCUCAAGAUCCUACAUCCCAAUUAAUCAAGGGAAGAAUGUUGGUAUCUGUUUGGUGCAGUCCCCAGUCCUUCAGUGUACGGCUAUGGUGAGGUUAUUACCCCAGAGCUUCCUUGUAUUGUUGCAGAAGGGAAAACAACCUAUUGCAACAGAUAUGACAUCCUAGAUAAAGUUUAAUAAUUAGCAAUAACAGUAGCAUCAACAUUUUAGAAACUGACAGCUGUGGUAACUAUUGAUUUUGUACUUUAGGCCAUAGGUGGAAUGUCUGUAGUUGCAUAGCAGAACCAAUCCUAAAUUAAGAGUUUUUAUGUAUGCAGAGUGUUUCCCUUUGGCAGAGUGGUCUUACCCUGAGGUUGGGAAAUUUAGGAAUGAGAGUGUAUAAAACAAAGAUAACUGGAAAGGAAGUAGAAGCAAGGCUGGAGGACAAAAAAUGAUCAUGCAAAGAUUGGGAAACUAGACUAGAGGUUCUAGAAGAGAAAGAAAAAAGGAGUAAUUGAGAGAUUAUAGGAACUUGGUCUCUGGGUUUGAAGGAUACGAUUAGUUUUCUGUAGCUGUAGUUCUCAACCAUUUAGAAAAGAGAAAAAGAAAGAAAAAAUAAUAAAAAAGACAAGAGAAAAGGAAAAAGAAAGUAAGAUAAAAAUAAAAUAAAAUUCAAAUUUAGUAAAGUGGUGGGCUGCACCACCCACCUGUUUCUAUUGUGUGUGUCUAUCGCUAAGUACAACAUUGGUUCACCUAACUUACCCUCUGUUGGCUGGUAAGUUGAACUUUUCCAUCCCACUAGUGUCCCCUGUCCAUCAUGUGUGCCUCAGUUGGGGCCCUACUGUAUGGCUGGCAUUCCCUGGGUCAGCUGGUCCCAGUCCCCUGGAUUCCUCCAGUGGACCAGUUGCUGAGACUGGGUUUUUUCUGGACUGGGUGCUGGGUUUCAAGAUGUUUAGGGCUCUUAAGGUUUUCAGAAAUCCAGCCUUAGAGAGUUUACUUGGAUCAGACAGGCCUACUGAAGCUCACUCUAAAGAGAUGAUGCACUCAAAAGCCCUUUCAUUUUUAACAAAGAACCAAUAGGGUGUCCAGUGUUGGUGGGCUAGGCAGUGUAUAAGGAUUGAGGAGCAGCCAAAGGAAUUUUGUGAAUUUUAUAGUCAAUUUUUUCCUGAACCCAAAACAAUUCUAAAAAAAAACACACACACACAAAAAAAAUUACACAAGAAUUACACGAUGUCACAGUUUAGAUCUAAAAUGUUUCCUAAAAGUCUUGUGUUCUGAGGUAGGCUUGAUCAGAAGAGGCAGGCCACAGGCCUGUUUCUGUUUCUGCUUCACGACCACCAUGAAAUGAGCAACUUUCUUUUGCUAAACCAUUUCUCCUUGUGGAUUCUGUCUUCCAGCUGGACCAUGAGCUAAACCCACUGAAACUGUAAGUUAGAACGAACUGCUUUUCUAAAUUGCAAUGUUGAGUAUUUGGUUCCAGCAACAGGAAAGCUAUCUUACAUAUAUAAGCUAGAGACUGUGGUAGACAAAAUAAUGCUCUUAAAAUUGUCCACAUAAUAAUUGCUAAAAUUCAUGACUAUGUUUCUUUAUGUGAUAAUAGAGUCUUUGUAGAUACAAUUAAAGAUUUUGAGAGACCAAUUUGGAUUGUCAGCACGGGCCCAGUGUACUCAGAUGGGAGGGUCAGUGACAAGAAAAACGAAAGCAGAGGUGAUGAAAAGACUGAUGUCUUUGAAGAUGGCAGAAGGUGCCAGGAGCCCAGAGAGGCAGGAAGCCUUUAAAAACUACAAAGUAAAGAAAUGAAAUGUAAUUGAUUCAUUUUAGACUUCUGACCUCUUGAGUUGUGAAGCAAUACAAUUCUGUUGUUUUAAGCAUUUUGUAGCAGUUUGUUACAAUAGCAAUAGGAAAUUAACAUGAUGAAUAUUUCAGUGAAAAUUUAGAAAAGUAGAUGAAGACGAGGUACUCAAGUUCACUAUCCAGAUCUUGGAUGCGACGGCUAAAUUCACUUGGAGAAUAGAAGCAAGACUCCAUUUCUUUCUGUUUAGGUACAGGAACAAUCCGCUUGCAUUUUAAAAUUUUCAGAUUUGCUAUUCUCUUAUUUCUUGUCUCCCACUAAGGAAAAAAAAAAAACAACAGCAAACUUCUGUAUUGUUUUGAAGCCUAUUUGGAUGGAAAUUCUACAGCUCUUCCUGCUUCUGCAGUUUCCUAGUAGCAUUUGUUUUCUCUGAUGGCAAGAUUAUCACUCAUGGCAUGGCCUCAUUCACUGUGCUGCCUGUGAAUAGCAGCCUCUAGUGGGAAAAAGUUUGUUACUGUGUGUGUUUGGUGAUCAUCACAAAUCCAACAGACUUCAGAAUAGACUGAAGAAAAACGUAUUCAUAUGAAAUGGCCAGAUCUUAGGCAACAGGAAGGAGAUUCAACAGUGUCCAGACUUGGGGAAGACUUGGAGGAAUAUGGCUGAUAGGAAUGGGACUCUGGGACUAUGGGAAUGUUCUGGAAUACGUGGCUCUUCUUGCAUCACUUUGAGCCUGGAUGGAAAACUAUCAAGGCGCACUUUAAGUAGUGCAUUAAGUCUCCUUCAUGAAAACAAGGGAGAAAUUGAAAAGAACCCAGGCGUCAUCUGGGGACAGCUUGGCCACCGCUCUGCUCUGGCUGGGCCGCCCCCUCCUCCCUGGUGGGCUCAGCACAGCAGGACCAGUGAGACCUGUGCCUCUCUGAAGGGUACCCCGAGUUCAGAAGCCUUCAGAUGGAGGAGGCCAUCCAGGGGACAGCAGGGUUGAGGAAGGAUGCGGAGAGCGAGGCUGGCCUGUCCCCCACCCGCCCCUAGUGGUGUGAAAAGCCCCCAUGGGAGAAGGGGGGACGUGGGGUCCACAGGUGGCAACCAGGAGCAAGAGGGCGUGGGGGAUGAGCUCGCACAGUGUCUCUAGAGAGAAAGGUGGGGUUCUCAUCAAAGAAGUUGUGGGGCUGAAGGAAGCAGCCACGCCAUUACCCACCAUCACCUUGUUGGGGACGUCCUCUGAGUGCAGGACGUACAGAAAUCCAGCUGUCAUCCAGGCUACCAGGUCCUGGGCUGGUUGUUGAUGAAGUCACCAAAGUCCACAGCUGGUGUCCAGAGGUCAUUCACGUUGUAGAUGCUGGAGCUGCUGGGCUCCUCAUCCUUCUGUGGGGUCACAGUCACCUGGUAUCAGCCAUGUCCAGGUCCAUCUUGAAGUGCAUGCUGUGGGUGUGGACUGUGCCUAGUAUGUGCUCCCUGACUCGGUUCCCAUACUGCUGGGCAACCCCAAAGAGGAGCUAAUGUAGCCAGUGGCGUGGACCUUGACUCUGAUGGCCCCAUUGGGGUGGAAGAUCAUGUCCCACACAUAGUCAUAGUUGAUCAUGGUGGACACGGACCAGAACACCAGCACUGGUUCCACGGCGCCCCCAUAAUAAUGGGGGUACAAAUCCGAGUGCUGUUGCAGCAGAGGCAGGUCCUGGUUCUGUUGAAACACACCAAGGGCAUCAAAGAUGGUCUUGGGGGCCCACGACUCUACCAGGAAGUGCCAGUCCAUCUAGGUGGCCAGGUAGGGGUAGUCGACCCCGCAGGUCUGGUGUGUGGAGGCUGUGAUGGGCUUCCUGAUCCUAGCUGGGCCCUGACCUGGUGGGCGUGGUCCAGACACGGCUCUCAGACACCAGUCCACUCAGUGGAGCUGCAGCUGCCCCACAAGGCCGAGGCCCUGGCCCACCUGGACGGAUGGGAGGGCCCCCGCCUGCCCUCGAGGUGCUGGCCCAAGCCCAGCCCAACAUAAGUGAGCUGCUGUGGGGCCGCUGCCCCAGCUGUCCUACCCACGGGAUGUCACCCUGCAUCGUACGGUGGCCCCCUGCCUUACCACCUGCGCCUUAUGCUGGCCAGAGUACCAGGACAUCGGCUGCAUGAUCUUCCAGCAAGAGCUGCCCAAGGUCGCAGGGCUUCUCCACCACUGCUGAUUCUACACCCAGGAAGGCCACCUGGUGAUGAACACAGGCCCGCUGGCCUGCAGUUGGGAGACCCAGCCAUUAUUCUACUAGAUUAGUUGCAUCCCAUUAGAGGAUGUGGCCUGAUGGCCGUCAGUGCUCAAACAGGUCUGACUGAGUUGAAUCAGAGAUGGAGCAAGAAGCCGAAUGCCACUGUGUGCGUGUUUCUAUACCUAGGAAGGUAAGAGGAGGAACGGUGAUUUCCCAAAUAGCUUCAAUCAAUACAGUUCUACUGUGCCAAUUUCUUGAGGCUUUACCUGUUCCUAUAAACUGGUGACCUUUAACUUCAUGCAGUGCGAAUUGUUUCCUUGUGUUUUGCAACUAUGAAUGUGGUGGUGUAAUUUCUGUGGGAAUUUGUAGGUGUGUUUUUCUAUAUUCAAACUCUAAAUCUGUGUGGGUGUGAGAAUGCGUUUAAUGAUUGAUUGAUUGAUGUCUGUCUCUAUCACUAUCUGUAGCUGUACCCAUCAAUCUACCUCGUGUCCAGAUUAAACGACAAACCUUUCCUCCAUGUUCUCUUGUGAAUCUGUGGAUUCUCCUCCAGGGCAUAGCUCCUCAGAGAUUUUAGCCUGACUUGGAAGACUGUCCUCCAGAGGCUUUGUUCCCAGCCUGGGAGACACAAAAACCUCUUUAUGACAGAGACAUGCAAAUAUUCCCAGGUCUGAUGUACUAUUAGCUUUCAUACUUAUCACUUACAUUUUUAAUUAUCUUUGUUUUGGUCCUUCAUAAUUCCCUUAAGACCUUAAGUAUACCUUUAAAGGACAUUUUCUUUAUUUUAUACAUUUAUGAGUAUUUAAUACUUUGACUUUUUAAAUGUCAUUAGUAUAAGUCAUAGUAAUUCAUAAGUUUGUAAAUAAGUAGUGGAACAAGCUUCCACGUUCUCCAGCCUGUCACCUUUAGGGCUUCUUCCGUGGUGUUUUAUCUGCCUGGAAUAUGCUUCCCUUUUCUCUUGGUCACACCGUGAAGCAGGAGGAUUGUGACCCUCACUUUGGAAUUAAGAACCUGCACUGUUCCUACUCUGUGCAUAGAGGACCUGAAUCUGCCCUAGUGCAUGGAAGUUUAGCAUUUGCCACAGCAGGGUCAGCUAUCUGUGAAUCGUUAUCUUCUCUUGAUUCCUUUGCUCUGUGUGUGUGUGUGUAAACCUAAUUUUUUGUACAAGCUUGUUGGUUUCUUACCUUUGUGAAUUUUCCUUGGAGCCCAGCAAUAAAAAUGCUUAUCAGAAAUAA